CGCAAAAACGCAACAACAACAAAAAUUUGCUCUCAUGCAAAUUUACUCGCAGUAAACACUCGUUUGGUGGUCACACAUAGCUGUAUGAACGUGCAACAAUUUUAAACUUCCGAAAAUGGUGACGUUUUUACAAAGUUCGCGGAUUCGAGGAAGAGCCUGAAAAAAAUACAUUCAAAUUGAAUUUUUAAGAAAAUGAAUCGCAGACGUGUACUCUUGGCCACUGCAGCUGCAUUAUUGCUGGAAGACGAAGAUGAACCGGUGAAGAAAAAAAGGAAAAUUUGGGCGAGAAAUUUUUAUUUUCGUGGAGCCAGUAAUCCCUACUUCCACACUUUAAUGGCCGAUUUGACGAAUGAGGGACCCGAUUUUUUCAAAAGUUUUGCGCACAUUUCCCUGGAUGAUUUUAAAUUUUUGUGCCAAAAAGUGCAUUCUCGAAUCGAAAAACAGGACACUCAUAUGCGCAUAGCUAUUUCUGCCGAAGAGAGGCUCGCAAUAACACUUAAAUUCCUAGCAACCGGAGACAGUUAUGGUACACUAUCGGAGUUGUUUCGUAUAUCACGACCUUCGAUAGUGGAAAUCGUACCAGAAGUAUGCCAAGCGAUUUUUGAUGCCCUAAAGGAAGACUACUUGCAAGACCGAUGGUUUUUCAAGCUGCGUUAACGUAUACGUCUACAUUACUCCAUUUGAUGCUGGGUACCUUGCGUGAACGCGGCGUUACCGCAGCUUAAACAACCGCUACGUGCAUGGUCAUCGGCCCUAAGACCGCCUUAUCAGAAUGAAUACUGUUCGCGUGACUUCAAAACAAAAUGCUGCUGUGAUCCUGGAAUGCCAUCACUAUUUUGACUGAUGUGACCACUCCAUAUUGCUCCACACAAAUCGAGUACACCAUUGAGAUUCAAAAGAUGUCAUUGUAAUUAUUGAUUCAUCGGAAGUUUUUCGGUGUCCAUCAAAGUGUUAUAAAGGGUUAAACGCUAUGCUAUGAUUAAAAUUCCACACAGGCGAUGAAGUUGAAGCCUGCGAUGCAGCAUUCUUUUCGACCCUUUGUACAGCUAGGCAACGUUUUGAAUUACUAAAAGCGUGGCAGCUUCGAUCGAUAAUGCUAUGUAGCAGGUUGAUAUGAAAACACAGGCAAUGUCUAUUGUAUUUAAUUAUAUGAGG
Molecule: long non-coding RNA, 1155 nt
Organism: Armigeres subalbatus
Lineage: Eukaryota; Metazoa; Arthropoda; Insecta; Diptera; Culicidae
Exons: 3
Source: RefSeq, a predicted model, not a curated record